This 212-nucleotide long non-coding RNA is filed under the name Elaeis guineensis (African oil palm). RNAcentral describes it as "long non-coding RNA (EGUI_LNC031215)". The record is from RNAcentral. Lineage: Eukaryota; Viridiplantae; Streptophyta; Magnoliopsida; Arecales; Arecaceae.
CCCCCCCUUGUGUCUGCAAAAAUUUCUUUUCUAAUCUUGCCUCUCUCUUUCUCUAGCAUUGACACCGUCUCCAAGUCCCGCCUCUCUUUCUCUUGCAUCGACGCCGUCUCUAAGUCCUUGGCUUCCUCAGGUCGGCCUCCUCGUCUUGGCUGACAGCUUCUACCAUCUCUACAACCUCUACUCCAGCUGUGGGGGGGCCACCUCUAUAGAGG